AUGGCGGCGCGCGGCCUGAAGGGCAAAGCUGCGGCGCAGGAGCACGGAGGGCUGAAGAUCAUGCUCGUCAGCUCCGACAAACAGCGCUUCUGCCUGCCGGAGCCCGCGGCGAGGGUGUCAAAGGUCAUCAGUAAAAGUAUCUGCGGCUACCUCACCGACGCCGACAUCACGCUCGAGUUUCCCGCCGAGGCGGUCAACAUGGUCGUGGAGUACUGCAAGCGGAAGGCAGCGGACGGUGUCGAAAUGACGCACGGGUGGGAAAGAGAGUACCUCCGCGACCUCGGCCAGGCGCAGCUGUACGAAGUGCUCCACGCCGCCGGCAACCCCGAGAUCGAGGAGCUCGUGGACCUGGCCUGCAAGCGCGUCGCCAACAUGAUCAGCGGCAAGGCGCCGGCGGAGAUCCGCAGGAUCUUCGGCAUCGACAACGACGAGUUCACGUCGGAGCAGCGCGAAGAGAUCCGCAGGGACAACUCGUGGAUCGAUAUGACGGCUGAAGAACAGGCCGAACUCGAGCUCGUAUUCUUCUUCGCCGUUAUUACAUCUUUUUGA
RNAcentral lists this ribosomal RNA (549 nucleotides) under Triticum aestivum (bread wheat). RNAcentral's name for it is "partial small subunit ribosomal RNA". Lineage: Eukaryota; Viridiplantae; Streptophyta; Magnoliopsida; Poales; Poaceae. The record is from RNAcentral.